GGUUGCGGCCAUAUCCUGGUGAAAAAUACGGGCUUCCCGGUCCGAUCAGCCCAUAGUUCAAGCCACCAGAGAGCCUUAGUUUAGUAUUGUAGUGGGAAGACCAUACGAGAAUCCUGGGUGCUGCAAUC
RNAcentral lists this ribosomal RNA (128 nucleotides) under Yarrowia lipolytica. The record is from RNAcentral. Lineage: Eukaryota; Fungi; Ascomycota; Dipodascomycetes; Dipodascales.